CACGGAGAAUGACUAUAUAGGUCUUGUAGAAGAGAAACAGGCGCUUCUUUUGCGCUAGGUAUCGAAGGGCGCUAUGUUCAAAAAUCUGAAACUAGAGCUCAAAAUUCGAAAAAAAUGUCCAAAAAAUGGGGGUAAGGUCGGCCUAUUCCAGGAGUUCUAGAGAAAGAUAAUGAGGGGUGUCACGGGGUAUGACUAUAUAGGUCUUGUAGAAGAGAAACAGGCUCUUCUUUUGCGCUAGGUAUCGAAGGGCACUUUGUUCAAAAAUCUGAAACUAGAGCUCAAAAUUUAAAAAAAAGGCAAACAAUUAGGGGGGUCAUCCAGUAGCGGCAUAACACAAAAAAACUCAUCAUAAAUACCAGACGCGCGUUUCAUCUACAAAGACUCAUUAGUGACGCUCGAAUCAAAAUAAUGAUUGAAAGGCC
Molecule: long non-coding RNA, 422 nt
Filed under: Mytilus galloprovincialis (Mediterranean mussel)
Lineage: Eukaryota; Metazoa; Mollusca; Bivalvia; Mytilida; Mytilidae
Source: RNAcentral